Molecule: long non-coding RNA, 448 nt
Organism: Dermacentor silvarum
Lineage: Eukaryota; Metazoa; Arthropoda; Arachnida; Ixodida; Ixodidae
Exons: 3
Source: RefSeq, a predicted model, not a curated record
GCUGCCAGCUAGCGAUGCAUACUUUAACGGUGAUGAACGUUCUAGCAGUGGGAACUUUGUUCGCAGUGAAUAUUAAAUUCGUGGCAACACAAAAUCUUCAGGAUCAAUGCCCCCUACGCUACAGUGGUCAAGGAUGUCUAUAUCGUGGGCACACAAUACCACGGGGAACAAGCGCAAACUUGCGAAAUCCCUGUGUACAUGCUGACUGCAGCAGCAAUGGACACAGACUUACUCUGACAGGGUGCCAAGACACCGCCGGCUGCAGCUCCACGGCCCCGGGAGGGCCAAGUGCGGAGACUAGAGCAUGGCCUCACUGCUGUGCUAAUUGCCCUCAAGUACAACGACGUUCAUAAAGAUGCUUCGUUGGGGACUGACGGAUUAACUCAACAUAUAUUCAUAAACCGGCUUUUAGGUUACGUGGUAUGGAUGGUGUCGGCACGGUUAUUUA